GAUGAACGCUGGCGGCGUGCCUAAUGCAUGCAAGUCGAGCGAACAGACGAGGAGCUUGCUCCUCUGACGUUAGCGGCGGACGGGUGAGUAACACGUGGAUAACCUACCUAUAAGACUGGGAUAACUUCGGGAAACCGGAGCUAAUACCGGAUAAUAUAUUGAACCGCAUGGUUCAAUAGUGAAAGACGGUUUUGCUGUCACUUAUAGAUGGAUCCGCGCCGCAUUAGCUAGUUGGUAAGGUAACGGCUUACCAAGGCAACGAUGCGUAGCCGACCUGAGAGGGUGAUCGGCCACACUGGAACUGAGAAACGGUCCAGACUCCUACGGGAGGCAGCAGUAGGGAAUCUUCCGCAAUGGGCGAAAGCCUGACGGAGCAACGCCGCGUGAAUGAUGAAGGUCUUCGGAUCGUAAAACUCUGUUAUUAGGGAAGAACAAAUGUGUAAGUAACUAUGCACGUCUUGACGGUACCUAAUCAGAAAGCCACGGCUAACUACGUG
This 497-nucleotide ribosomal RNA is filed under the name uncultured bacterium. RNAcentral describes it as "partial 16S ribosomal RNA". It matches the Rfam family "Bacterial small subunit ribosomal RNA", at positions 28 to 507 of the family's 1533-position model. The record is from RNAcentral.